UUCCCACCUCCUUGGUUGUGCAUUGUUUACGUCAGUCAGGUUUCGUGUUCCCUGUGGUUUCUUUGGUCUUCCUGUUUCUUUUUUUUUCAGUUUCUUGUUUCUUGUUGGUUUAUUUAUGUAUGUUUAAUAAACAGUCAUGCCCACUCUUCUCCUCCUUUCUCCUGCUUCUCCGUACCUGUCGGUAUGUAAUGUAGUAUAUAUUUCAAGCCAUUUUUAAUUUUAAAGUUACAUUUGGUAGACUAAGCCAGGUCGACUUAAACACAUCUUACAUUAACACAGAUUAUAUUGAGCAGUUCUAAAAAAGAAAAUAGACAGUAAGACAAUAGUUAAAGAUAAGCGGCCUCAGAUAAUAAUAAUGAUUGUGUAAUCAAAAAAUUUAGAAUUUCCCUUGUACAUGUUGAGAACACAAUAUUUAGAAUUAUGUUACUCAAAUAUUUUAUAAACUUUUUAGAUUUGUGUACAUUCAGAUGAAAUCUGACUUUGUAAUGUACUGUAUUUAAGUUUUGUUCAGUCUGUUAUCACUGAGAACUGGAGAGAUUGGCUCAAAGAACUGUUAAUAAAACUUGUAACACAUUAUAAUAAAGGUUUUGUGCAGUAUUUCACGAGUAAGUAAUCAUUAAUUCAUGCACAUAAUACAUCAUGAGUCAUCAUAAAUAUUCAUGAAGUAAGCAUGCCUCACACAUGUGUUUGUGUAAUAGUUAAGGAACAAAUGUCACUUCUUUAUGAGUUCAUGAUGUUUAUGGCCUUCAAAGUUAAAUGGUAUCAUAUCCAGCAUUACCUAACUAUUGCUUCGUCAUAAAUGAUUUUACAGCUGCUGAUAAAACUGCUUAGACCGGUCUGACUUACACCUGAGCUGUGCUGGUUUAUUGGUUGUGCUGAAAGUGAAAGCAAUUUGUGUACCUCUGCAUUUUAUUCUGGGCUGCAAGAAGAAAACACCUCUGUGUUGGGGAGUAUUCAAAGCUACAUUUUCAAAGCAGAAGACUACAUUUUAUCAAAUAUGUCAGACUACCAGUAUGCUGUGUAUUUUGUGGCAAGUAACCUCUUAAAGGAAGAUCUGAAAAAGAUCAGACAGUACUUUCAGAUCAGGCGUCGUUCUGGAGGGGGAGAAUGUGGAGACGUGGAGAAAAUAAGGGAGAACUUCUACAGGAUAGCCUUUGAGGAGGAAGCAGACCAGAAACGAGUGUUAAGAAAAAAGGAUCAUACUAUCCAGCUGUCUGUACAAAGAAAUCUGCAAAUCACUUUAAGCUGCAAUGAGAUACAAGAGGAUAACAGUUUUGCACAGACUGCGUCAGGUCAACAGACAGCCUCGAGUUGUAAACCAGUGGAAAAGAUUUUGAAAUUGGAUUCUUAUCUUCUGCGAUUCCUGAAAGAAAAUAAAAAAGCAUCCUUGGACUUGGAGAAACGCCUUUCCUCUCUAAACUGCUCCUUUAAAUUAGACCUGGACUCUGAGAAAGUAGUGGUAGUAAAAGAUGAAGUCAAGUCUGAUGAAGAUGAUAUUGCCCUUGAUAAGUGGAAAGCAAAGGUUGAGGACGUGUUUUUCGAGCUGCAGUACCUCUAUGACAUCUAUUUUGAGUUUAACCCUGAGACGCUAAUGAUCCUCAAGCAAAACACCUUCUUACCCACAGAACAACUUGGAAUCUAUAGAGAAGAAAAUAUAUUUGUAAUUGUGGGAGAACCUAUGGAGCUGCAGAAGCUCCUAAAAGCCAUGAAGUUGCAACAGCAGAUCUGUAAAGAGUGUCUUGUGUCUGAAGCAAAUUUUGAUCUUGUGAAAGAGCAGUUCAGGCUGGAAAUACAGUCAAAUUUUUCAGAGAUCAACAUUGCACAAGACAGGCCUGGCUCUGUUGUUCUUAAAGGUCCUAAGGAGCAAGUUGAAGCUGCAGGGUCAAAGCUUCAGGAGCUGUUGAGUCAAAUUCAAGAGAAAAGGAUUCAUCUUCAUCAAGCCCUCACAACAUUCUUGUCAUCAAGUGGUGCUAUACAAAAGUUCCAGGUGCGAUUCCAACAGAGUCUACGCAGUCCAGUUCGGUUUGAGACCAGAAAUU
This 2039-nucleotide long non-coding RNA is filed under the name Astyanax mexicanus (Mexican tetra). RNAcentral's name for it is "lncRNA (ENSAMXG00005000861.1)". Lineage: Eukaryota; Metazoa; Chordata; Actinopteri; Characiformes; Acestrorhamphidae. The record is from RNAcentral.